Molecule: ribosomal RNA, 468 nt
Filed under: uncultured bacterium
Lineage: Bacteria
Description: partial 16S ribosomal RNA
Rfam family: Bacterial small subunit ribosomal RNA
Source: RNAcentral
GACGAACGCUGGCGGCGUGCUUAACACAUACAAGUCGAACGGAAAGGCCCUGCUUUUGUGGGGUGCUCGAGUGGCGAACGGGUGAGUAACACGUGAGUAACCUGCCCUUGACUUUGGGAUAACUUCAGGAAACUGGGGCUAAUACCGGAUAGGAGCUCCUGCUGCACGGUGGGGGUUGGAAAGUUUCGGCGGUUGGGGAUGGACUCGCGGCUUAUCAGCUUGUUGGUGGGGUAGUGGCUUACCAAGGCUUUGACGGGUAGCCGGCCUGAGAGGGUGACCGGCCACAUUGGGACUGAGAUACGGCCCAGACUCCUACGGGAGGCAGCAGUGGGGAACAUUGCACAAUGGGCGGAAGCCUGAUGCAGCAACGCCGCGUGCGGGAUGACGGCCUUCGGGUUGUAAACCGCUUUCGCCUGUGACGAAGCGUGAGUGACGGUAAUGGGUAAAGAAGCACCGGCUAACUACGUG